AGGAAAAACUUCUACAUCGAGACAAGCAGAUGUGUGCUAUGUGAUGAUGAGCCUAACGAACACUUGCUCCAUUUAUUCUUCGGUUGUGAUUUCAGUCAGUAUUUUUUGCUAACCAUUGGUUUGCAAUGGAACACAGAUUAUGAACUCAUAAAUAUGCUCAUGGAUGGAAAGAGGCAGAAUAAUGUCAAUUGUUUCAAGGAAUGCUUAAUUGUAGGUUGCUGGAGCCUAUGGAAACAUAGAAACAACAACAUCUUUGAUCACAAAGUAAAGAGCAUGGCUUUUUGUGUCUCAAGCUUUAAGGAACAUUUUGAUAUGAUCAUCAAAAAGGCAAAACCUAGCUUGAAAGAAGGGAUGUUGACAUGACUAGAUUACUUGUAG
Molecule: ribosomal RNA, 378 nt
Filed under: Triticum aestivum (bread wheat)
Lineage: Eukaryota; Viridiplantae; Streptophyta; Magnoliopsida; Poales; Poaceae
Description: partial small subunit ribosomal RNA
Source: RNAcentral